RNAcentral lists this ribosomal RNA (500 nucleotides) under uncultured bacterium. Its description in RNAcentral is "partial 16S ribosomal RNA". It matches the Rfam family "Bacterial small subunit ribosomal RNA", at positions 30 to 523 of the family's 1533-position model. The record is from RNAcentral.
AUUGAACGCUGGCGGAAUGCUUUACACAUGCAAGUCGAACGGCAGCACGGACUUCGGUCUGGUGGCGAGUGGCGAACGGGUGAGUAAUGUAUCGGAACGUGCCCAGUCGUGGGGGAUAACGUAGUGAAAAUUACGCUAAUACCGCAUACGAUAUAUGGAUGAAAGCGGGGGAUCGCAAGACACCGCGCGAUUGGAGCGGCCGAUAUCAGAUUAGGUAGUUGGUGGGGUAAAGGCCCACCAAGCCAACGAUCUGUAGCUGGUCUGAGAGGACGACCAGCCACACAGGAACUGAGACACGGUCCAGACUCCUACGGGAGGCAGCAGUGGGGAAUUUUGGACAAUGGGCGAAAGCCUGAUCCAGCCAUUCCGCGUGCAGGAUGAAGGCCCUCGGGUUGUAAACCGCUUUUGUACAGAACGAAAAGGUUUCUACUAAUACUAGGAGCUCAUGACGGUACUGUAAGAAUAAGCACCGGCUAACUACGUGCCAGCAGCCGCCGUAA